RNAcentral lists this ribosomal RNA (267 nucleotides) under Triticum aestivum (bread wheat). RNAcentral describes it as "partial small subunit ribosomal RNA". Lineage: Eukaryota; Viridiplantae; Streptophyta; Magnoliopsida; Poales; Poaceae. The record is from RNAcentral.
AUGGUCAAGGACUCAGGGCAAUGGAUAAAAUCUAGAUGCCAAGUUGACUUUUUUCCUGCGGAUUUGCUUAUCGUGAAGAUGCACAAAGGUUUGAUAGCUCAAGCAUUGGAUGUUGGCAAAAUAGAAGUUCCUUCACCAAAGGAAGAAAGUAGUUCCACCGAUUCAGAAGCUAGUAGAGAUACUGAAAACUUUGACACUAGUGGCGAUGACGACAAUGAUCGUAAUCACAAGCACCGAAGACCAUUGCCAUGUUCUUGCAUACUAUAG